Molecule: transfer RNA, 70 nt
Filed under: Marmota monax (woodchuck)
Lineage: Eukaryota; Metazoa; Chordata; Mammalia; Rodentia; Sciuridae
Description: tRNA.Ala
Source: RNAcentral
GCUGAAGACAGAUCAAUGGUAGAGUGUUUGUCUAGCAUACAUGAGAUCCUGGGUUCAAUCCCCAGCACCA